Molecule: unclassified non-coding RNA, 201 nt
Filed under: Hevea brasiliensis (rubber tree)
Lineage: Eukaryota; Viridiplantae; Streptophyta; Magnoliopsida; Malpighiales; Euphorbiaceae
Source: RNAcentral
UGGUGCUUUGACAUGUGGAUGGAAGAGUUGAGAGAUUCCUGGUAGGCCCAAUGAAGCAAGAAGGCACUCUUCUAGAGAAGAACAGACUAAUGGAUGGAGACUCUCGGUACACGUAAUGGCUCUAGGGUGGCUCUUAGAGGUGCAUGAUCGGGUGAAUUUGGUGGAGUAAUAUACUCGAGUUAACAAAGGCUUCUAUUCGAG